AGAGUUUGAUCCUGGCUCAGGACGAACGCUGGCGGCGCGCCUAACACAUGCAAGUCGAACGAGCGAGAGAGAGCUUGCUUUCUUGAGCGAGUGGCGAACGGGUGAGUAACGCGUGAGGAACCUGCCUCAAAGAGGGGGACAACAGUUGGAAACGACUGCUAAUACCGCAUAAGCCCACGGCUCGGCAUCGAGCAGAGGGAAAAGGAGCAAUCCGCUUUGAGAUGGCCUCGCGUCCGAUUAGCUAGUUGGUGAGGUAACGGCCCACCAAGGCGACGAUCGGUAGCCGGACUGAGAGGUUGAACGGCCACAUUGGGACUGAGACACGGCCCAGACUCCUACGGGAGGCAGCAGUGGGGAAUAUUGCACAAUGGGGGAAACCCUGAUGCAGCGACGCCGCGUGGAGGAAGAAGGUCUUCGAAUUGUAAACUCCUGUUGUUGAGGAAGAUAAUGACGGUACUCAACAAGGAAGUGACGGCUGACUACGUGCCAGCAGCCGCGGUAAAACGUAGGUCACAAGCGUUGUCCGGAAUUACUGGGUGUAAAGGGAGCGCAGGCGGGAAGACAAGUUGGAAGUGAAAUCCAUGGGCUCAACCCAUGAACUGCUUUCAAAACUGUUUUUCUUGAGUAGUGCAGAGGUAGGCGGAAUUCCCGGUGUAGCGGUGGAAUGCGUAGAUAUCGGGAGGAACACCAGUGGCGAAGGCGGCCUACUGGGCACCAACUGACGCUGAGGCUCGAAAGUGUGGGUAGCAAACAGGAUUAGAUACCCUGGUAGUCCACACUGUAAACGAUGAUUACUAGGUGUUGGAGGAUUGACCCCUUCAGUGCCGCAGUUAACACAAUAAGUAAUCCACCUGGGGAGUACGACCGCAAGGUUGAAACUCAAAGGAAUUGACGGGGACCCGCACAAGUAGCGGAGCAUGUGGUUUAAUUCGAAGCAACGCGAAGAACCUUACCUAAGCUUGACAUCCUUUUGACCGAUGCCUAAUCGCAUCUUUUCCUUCGGGGACAGAAGUGACAGGUGGUGCAUGGUUGUCGUCAGCUCGUGUCGUGAGAUGUUGGGUUAAGUCCCGCAACGAGCGCAACCCUUGCCUUUAGUUGCCAUCAUUAAGUUGGGCACUCUAGAGGGACUGCCAGGGAUAACCUGGAGGAAGGUGGGGAUGACGUCAAAUCAUCAUGCCCCUUAUGCUUAGGGCUACACACGUGCUACAAUGGGUGGUACAGAGGGCAGCAAAGUCGUGAGGCCAAGCUAAUCCCUUAAAGCCAUUCUCAGUUCGGAUUAUAGGCUGAAACUCGCCUACAUGAAGCUGGAGUUACUAGUAAUCGCAGAUCAGAAUGCUGCGGUGAAUGCGUUCCCGGGUCUUGUACACACCGCCCGUCACACCAUGGGAGUUGGGGGCGCCCGAAGCCGGCUAGCUAACCUUUUGGAAGCGGUCGUCGAAGGUGAAACCAAUAACUGGGGUGAAGUCGUAACAAGGUA
This 1477-nucleotide ribosomal RNA is filed under the name metagenome. RNAcentral describes it as "bacterial SSU rRNA". It matches the Rfam family "Bacterial small subunit ribosomal RNA". The record is from RNAcentral.